GUUGCUGAUGAUGCCCUCCAGGGCCUUGCGUUCGCACUCAUCUGCCACGUGGUCCAGGUCCACGGCCCCUGUGAGGGAGAAUGGCGAGGACUCCCCCUGUGGCCUCUCUGCCCCCAGCAUCUACACCCCAGCCCCCGCGAGUGUGCAGCGCAUGCCCACCCUCAUAGGUGCAGUAGUAGAAGACAUUGAGGGCCUCCUCCGCCGCUGGCCCCCGCUGCUUGUAGCCGAAGAUGAGGUCGAUCCACUCGUGCAGGAAGUCCGGGAAGUAGAAGAACUCGGGGAUGAGUUCCUUCACGUCGGCCGGGCUCUCCAGGCGCGCCUGCCAGGCUGCGGCCACCGAGUGGAACUGCCGAUCGGAGCAGUCAAAGCUGGUGGAGGGUGGGCCACAGGCC
This 392-nucleotide long non-coding RNA is filed under the name Heterocephalus glaber (naked mole-rat). Its description in RNAcentral is "lncRNA (ENSHGLG00100038167.1)". The record is from RNAcentral. Lineage: Eukaryota; Metazoa; Chordata; Mammalia; Rodentia; Bathyergidae.